AAUUCGAUUGAGUUUGAUCAUGGCUCAGGACGAACGCUGGCGGCGUGCCUAAUGCAUGCAAGUCGCACGGCUGGGCUUCGGCCCGGUAGUGGCGAACGGCUGAGGAACACGUGGGGUACCUACCCCUGAGUGGGGGACAACCCGGCGAAAGCCAGGCUAAUCCCGCAUACGCUCUGCGGAGCAAAGCGGCAACGCGCUCAGGAAUGGCCCUGCGGCCCAUCAGGUCGUUGGCGGGGUAACGGCCCACCAAGCCGAUGACGGGUCGCUGGUCUGUGAGGACGACCAGCCAGACUGGGACUGCGACACGGCCCAGACUCCUACGGGAGGCAGCAACAAGGAAUUUUCGGCAAUGGGCGCAAGCCUGACCGAGCAACGCCGCGUGCAGGAUGACGGCUUUCGGGUUGUAAACUGCUUUUGCCAGGGAGGAUACGGACAGUACCUGGCGAAUCAGCCCCGGCUAACUCUGUGCCAGCAGCCGCGGUAAUACAGAGGGGGCAAGCGUUGUCCGGAUUGACUGGGCGUAAAGCGCACGCAGGUGGGUGCUUAAGACGGAUGUGAAAUCGACGGGCUUAACCCGUCGCCGCCAUUCGUGACUGGGGGCCUGGAGGUCGGCAGAGGUGGGUGGAAUUGCCAGUGUAGCAGUGAAAUGCGUAGAGCUUGGCAGGAACACCGAGGGGAAACCCAGCCCACUGGGCCGAAUCUGACACUGAGGUGCGACAGCGUGGGGAGCCAACAGGAUUAGAUACCC
Molecule: ribosomal RNA, 748 nt
Filed under: uncultured bacterium
Lineage: Bacteria
Description: bacterial SSU rRNA
Rfam family: Bacterial small subunit ribosomal RNA
Source: RNAcentral